AUUGAACGCUGGCGGCAGGCCUAACACAUGCAAGUCGAGCGAGCGGCGGACGGGUGAGUAAUGUAUGGGGACUGACCGAGAGAGGGGGAUAACUACUGGAAACGGUGGCUAAAAACGCACACUAUCGGAUAACCCGUUUGGGAAGAGCUAGUAGGGGGGGUAAAGGAUCACCACGGCUACGAUCUCUAGCUGGUCUGAGAGGAUGAUCAGCCAAAAUGGAACUGAGACACGGCCCAGACUCCUACGGAGGCAGCAGUGGGGAAUAUUGCACAAUGGGCGCAAGCCUGAUGCAGCCAUGCCGCGUGUAUGAAGAAGGCCUUAGGGUUGUAAAGUACUUUCAGCGGGGAGGCGUUACCCGCAGAAGAAGCACCGGCUAACUCCGUGCCAGCCGCCGCGGUAAUAC
RNAcentral lists this ribosomal RNA (403 nucleotides) under uncultured bacterium. RNAcentral's name for it is "partial 16S ribosomal RNA". It matches the Rfam family "Bacterial small subunit ribosomal RNA", at positions 29 to 526 of the family's 1533-position model. The record is from RNAcentral.